RNAcentral lists this ribosomal RNA (383 nucleotides) under uncultured eukaryote. Its description in RNAcentral is "partial 18S ribosomal RNA". It matches the Rfam family "Eukaryotic small subunit ribosomal RNA", at positions 592 to 976 of the family's 1831-position model. The record is from RNAcentral.
CAAUAGCGUAUAUUAAAGUUGUUGCAGUUAAAAAGCUCGUAGUUGGAUUUCUGGUGGGAGCGAUCGGUCUGGCGCUUAGCGCGAGUACUUGCAUCGUCUCCGGCCAUCCUUGGGGAGAGUCUGUCUGGCAUUAGGUUGUCGGGCAGAGGAUCCUCAUCGUUUACUGUGAAAAAAUUAGAGUGUUCAAAGCAGGCUUAUGGCGUUGAAUAUAUUAGCAUGGAAUAAUAAGAUAGGACUUUGGUACUAUUUUGUUGGUUUGCGCACCAAAGUAAUGAUUAAUAGGGACAGUUGGGGGUAUUCGUAUUCCGUUGUCAGAGGUGAAAUUCUUGGAUUUACGGAAGACGAACUACUGCGAAAGCAUUUACCAAGGAUGUUUUCAUUAA